GCGCCUGUAGCUCAACUGGAUAGAGCAGGUCCGUCCUAAGGACAAGGUUGUAGGUUCAACUCCUAUCGGGCGCG
RNAcentral lists this transfer RNA (74 nucleotides) under Candidatus Elusimicrobium euhamitermitis. Its description in RNAcentral is "tRNA-Arg". It matches the Rfam family "tRNA". From Rfam's summary of the family: Transfer RNA (tRNA) molecules are approximately 80 nucleotides in length. Their secondary structure includes four short double-helical elements and three loops (D, anti-codon, and T loops). Further hydrogen bonds mediate the characteristic L-shaped molecular structure. tRNAs have two regions of fundamental functional importance: the anti-codon, which is responsible for specific mRNA codon recognition, and the 3' end, to which the tRNAs corresponding amino acid is attached (by aminoacyl-tRNA synthetases). tRNAs cope with the degeneracy of the genetic code in two manners: having more than one tRNA (with a specific anti-codon) for a particular amino acid; and 'wobble' base-pairing, i.e. permitting non-standard base-pairing at the 3rd anti-codon position. Lineage: Bacteria; Pseudomonadati; Elusimicrobiota; Elusimicrobia; Elusimicrobiales; Elusimicrobiaceae. The record is from RNAcentral.